RNAcentral lists this ribosomal RNA (801 nucleotides) under uncultured Pelagibacteraceae bacterium. RNAcentral describes it as "bacterial SSU rRNA". It matches the Rfam family "Bacterial small subunit ribosomal RNA", at positions 38 to 887 of the family's 1533-position model. Lineage: Bacteria; Pseudomonadati; Pseudomonadota; Alphaproteobacteria; Candidatus Pelagibacterales; Candidatus Pelagibacteraceae. The record is from RNAcentral.
GGCGGCACGCCUAACACAUGCAAGUCGAACGAAGUAGCAAUACUUAGUGGCAGACGGGUGAGUAACAUGUAGGUAUCUGCCCUUUGGCCUGGAAUAACACGAGGAAACUUGUGCUAAUACCGGAUAAGUCUUUACGGAGAAAGCUUUAUGCACCAUUGGAUGAGCCUGCACUUGAUUAGUUUGUUGGUGGGGUAAUGGCCUACCAAGACUGUGAUCAAUAGCUGAUUUGAGAGGAUGAUCAGCCACAUUGGGACUGAGACACGGCCCAAACUCCUACGGGAGGCAGCAGUGGGGAAUCUUGCACAAUGGAGGAAACUCUGAUGCAGCGAUGCCGCGUGAGUGAAGAAGGCCUUUGGGUUGUAAAGCUCUUUCGUCGGGGAAGAAAAUGACUGUACCCGAAUAAGAAGGUCCGGCUAACUUCGUGCCAGCAGCCGCGGUAAUACGAAGGGACCUAGCGUAGUUCGGAAUUACUGGGCUUAAAGAGUUCGUAGGUGGUUGAAAAAGUUGGUGGUGAAAUCCCAGAGCUUAACUCUGGAACUGCCAUCAAAACUUUUCAGCUAGAGUAUGAUAGAGGAAAGCAGAAUUUCUAGUGUAGAGGUGAAAUUCGUAGAUAUUAGAAAGAAUACCAAUUGCGAAGGCAGCUUUCUGGAUCAUUACUGACACUGAGGAACGAAAGCAUGGGUAGCGAAGAGGAUUAGAUACCCUCGUAGUCCAUGCCGUAAACGAUGUGUGUUAGACGUUGGAAAUUUAUUUUCAGUGUCGCAGCGAAAGCGAUAAACACACCGCCUGGGGAGUACGACC